This 253-nucleotide ribosomal RNA is filed under the name Bacteroides uniformis. Its description in RNAcentral is "partial 16S ribosomal RNA". It matches the Rfam family "Bacterial small subunit ribosomal RNA", at positions 524 to 776 of the family's 1533-position model. Lineage: Bacteria; Pseudomonadati; Bacteroidota; Bacteroidia; Bacteroidales; Bacteroidaceae. The record is from RNAcentral.
UACGGAGGAUUCGAGCGUUAUCCGGAUUUAUUGGGUUUAAAGGGAGCGUAGGCGGACGCUUAAGUCAGUUGUGAAAGUUUGCGGCUCAACCGUAAAAUUGCAGUUGAUACUGGGUGUCUUGAGUACAGUAGAGGCAGGCGGAAUUCGUGGUGUAGCGGUGAAAUGCUUAGAUAUCACGAAGAACUCCGAUUGCGAAGGCAGCUUGCUGGACUGUAACUGACGCUGAUGCUCGAAAGUGUGGGUAUCAAACAGG